UACGUAGGGUGCAAGCGUUAAUCGGAAUUACUGGGCGUAAAGCGUGCGCAGGCGGUUUUGUAAGUCUGACGUGAAAUCCCCGGGCUCAACCUGGGAAUUGCGUUGGAGACUGCAAGGCUAGAAUCUGGCAGAGGGGGGGUAGAAUUCCGACGUGUGAGCAGUGAAAUGCGUAGAGAUGUGGAGGAACACCGAUGGCGAAGGCAGCCCCCUGGGUCAAGAUUGACGCUCAUGCACGAAAGC
Molecule: ribosomal RNA, 240 nt
Filed under: uncultured bacterium
Lineage: Bacteria
Description: partial 16S ribosomal RNA
Rfam family: Bacterial small subunit ribosomal RNA
Source: RNAcentral